GAUGAACGCUGGCGGCGUGCUUAACACAUGCAAGUCAAACGAAGCACUUUAUUUGAUUUCCUUCGGGACUGAUUAUUUUGUGACUGAGUGGCGGACGGGUGAGUAACGCGUGGGUAACCUGCCUUGUACAGGGGGAUAACAGUUGGAAACGGCUGCUAAUACCGCAUAAGCGCCCAGCAUCGCAUGAUGCAGUGUGAAAAACUCCGGUGGUAUAAGAUGGACCCGCGUUGGAUUAGCUAGUUGGUGAGGUAACGGCCCACCAAGGCGACGAUCCAUAGCCGACCUGAGAGGGUGACCGGCCACAUUGGGACUGAGACACGGCCCAAACUCCUACGGGAGGCAGCAGUGGGGAAUAUUGCACAAUGGGCGAAAGCCUGAUGCAGCGACGCCGCGUGAGCGAAGAAGUAUUUCGGUAUGUAAAGCUCUAUCAGCAGGGAAGAUAAUGACGGUACCUGACUAAGAAGCACCGGCUAAAUACGUG
This 481-nucleotide ribosomal RNA is filed under the name uncultured bacterium. RNAcentral's name for it is "partial 16S ribosomal RNA". It matches the Rfam family "Bacterial small subunit ribosomal RNA", at positions 28 to 507 of the family's 1533-position model. The record is from RNAcentral.